UGAGAUGGCCGGGUGGUCGCUCCACCUUUUGGUGGAGAGGAAAGUCCGGACACCACAGGGCAGGGUAGUCGGUAACGCCGACCUGUCGUGAGGCAGGGAAAGUGCCACAGAAAAGAGACCGCCGAGUACCUAAAACAUUUUUGUUUUAGGUGCUCGGUAAGGGUGAAAAGGUGGGGUAAGAGCCCACCGCUCCAUCUGGUGACAGAUGGAGGCACGGCAAACCCUACCCGGUGCAAGGCUAAAUAGGUGAGCGUUUGAGGGUGGCCCGCCCGAUGCUCACGGGUAAGCCGCUAGAGCCUAUCGGCAACGAUAGGCCCAGAGGAAUGACCACCAUCCGCCUAAGGCGGAUACAGAAUCCGGCUUACAGGCCAUCUCACCUU
RNAcentral lists this RNase P RNA (380 nucleotides) under Deferribacter autotrophicus. RNAcentral's name for it is "RNase P RNA component class A". It matches the Rfam family "Bacterial RNase P class A". From Rfam's summary of the family: Ribonuclease P (RNase P) is a ubiquitous endoribonuclease, found in archaea, bacteria and eukarya as well as chloroplasts and mitochondria. Its best characterised activity is the generation of mature 5'-ends of tRNAs by cleaving the 5'-leader elements of precursor-tRNAs. Lineage: Bacteria; Pseudomonadati; Deferribacterota; Deferribacteres; Deferribacterales; Deferribacteraceae. The record is from RNAcentral.